This 919-nucleotide ribosomal RNA is filed under the name uncultured archaeon. Its description in RNAcentral is "bacterial SSU rRNA". It matches the Rfam family "Archaeal small subunit ribosomal RNA", at positions 1 to 923 of the family's 1478-position model. The record is from RNAcentral.
UUCCGGUUGAUCCUGCCAGAGGCUACUGCUAUCGGGGUUCGAUUAAGCCAUGCGAGUUAAAUGUUCUUCGUGAACAUAGCGAACUGCUCAGUAACACGUGGAUAACCUACCCUUAGGACCGGAAUAACCCCGGGAAACUGGGGAUAAUACCGGAUAAGCCAUAGGCGCUGGAAUGCCCUAUGGUUCAAAGCUCCGGCGCCUAAGGAUGGAUCUGCGGUCUAUCAGGUUGUAGUGGGUGUAACGUACCUACUAGCCAACGACGGGUACGGGUUGUGAGAGCAAGAGCCCGGAGAUGGAUUCUGAGACACGAAUCCAGGCCCUACGGGGUGCAGCAGGCGCGAAACCUUUACAAUGUGCGAAAGCAUGAUAAGGGAACUCCGAGUGCCAGCAUCUAAUGUUGGCUGUCCUUGUGCCUAAAACGCACAAGAUAGCAAGGGCCGGGUAAGACCGGUGCCAGCCGCCGCGGUAACACCGGCGGCCCGAGUGGUAGCCGCUAUUAUUGGGUCUAAAGGGUCCGUAGCCGGUUCGAUAAGUCCUCUGGGAAAUCUGGUUGCUUAACAAUCAGACUGCCAAGGGAUACUGUCGAACUUGAGACCGGGAGAGGUAAGAGGUACUUCAGGGGUAGGAGUGAAAUCUUGUAAUCCCUGGGGGACCAUCUGUGGCGAAGGCGUCUUACCAGAACGGGUCUGACGGUGAGGGACGAAAGCUGGGGGCGCAAACCGGAUUAGAUACCCGGGUAGUCCCAGCCGUAAACGAUGCUCGCUAUGUGUCAGGUACGGUGUGACCGUAUCUGGUGCCGUAGGGAAGCCGUGAAGCGAGCCACCUGGGAAGUACGGUCGCAAGACUGAAACUUAAAGGAAUUGGCGGGGGAGCACUACAACGGGUGGAGCCUGCGGUUUAAUUGGAUUCAACGCCGGGA